AUUGAACGCUGGCGGCAUGCUUUACACAUGCAAGUCGAACGGCAGCGCGGGCUUCGGCCUGGCGGCGAGUGGCGAACGGGUGAGUAAUGCAUCGGAACGUGCCCAGUAGUGGGGGAUAGCCCGGCGAAAGCCGGAUUAAUACCGCAUACGACCUGAGGGUGAAAGCGGGGGACCGAAAGGCCUCGCGCUAUUGGAGCGGCCGAUGUCGGAUUAGCUAGUUGGUGGGGUAAAGGCUUACCAAGGCGACGAUCCGUAGCUGGUCUGAGAGGACGACCAGCCACACUGGGACUGAGACACGGCCCAGACUCCGACGGGAGGCAGCAGUGGGGAAUUUUGGACAAUGGGGGCAACCCUGAUCCAGCCAUGCCGCGUGCGGGAAGAAGGCCUUCGGGUUGUAAACCGCUUUUGUUCGGGAAGAAAUCCUCUGGGCUAAUACCCCGGGGGGAUGACGGUACCGGAAGAAUAAGCACCGGCUAACUACGUG
Molecule: ribosomal RNA, 484 nt
Filed under: uncultured bacterium
Lineage: Bacteria
Description: partial 16S ribosomal RNA
Rfam family: Bacterial small subunit ribosomal RNA
Source: RNAcentral